AGUGAACGCUGGCGGUAGGCCUAACACAUGCAAGUCGAACGGCAGCACAGUAAGAGCUUGCUCUUACGGGUGGCGAGUGGCGGACGGGUGAGGAAUACAUCGGAAUCUACUUUUUCGUGGGGGCUAACGUCGGGAAACUUACGCUAAUACCGCAUACGACCUACGGGUGAAAGCAGGGGAUCUUCGGACCUUGCGCGAUUGAAUGAGCCGAUGUCGGAUUAGCUAGUUGGCGGGGUAAAGGCCCACCAAGGCGACGAUCCGUAGCUGGUCUGAGAGGAUGAUCAGCCACACGGGAACUGAGACACGGUCCAGACUCCUACGGGAGGCAGCAGUGGGGAAUAUUGGACAAAGGGCGCAAGCCGGAUCCAGCCAUACCGCGUGGGGGAAGAAGGCCUUCGGGUUGUAAAGCCCUGUUGUUGGGAAAGAAAAGCAGCAGGUUAAUACCCCGCUGUUCUGACGGUACCCAAAGAAUAAGCACCGGCUAACUUCGUG
Molecule: ribosomal RNA, 492 nt
Filed under: uncultured bacterium
Lineage: Bacteria
Description: partial 16S ribosomal RNA
Rfam family: Bacterial small subunit ribosomal RNA
Source: RNAcentral